This 301-nucleotide ribosomal RNA is filed under the name uncultured bacterium. Its description in RNAcentral is "partial 16S ribosomal RNA". It matches the Rfam family "Bacterial small subunit ribosomal RNA", at positions 509 to 808 of the family's 1533-position model. The record is from RNAcentral.
CAGUCGCCGCGGUAAUACGAAGGGUGCAAGCGUUAAUCGGAAUUACUGGGCGUAAAGCGUGCGUAGGCGGUGAGUUAAGUCUGCUGUGAAAUCCCCGGGCUCAACCUGGGAAUGGCAGUGGAUACUGGCUCGCUAGAGUGUGUCAGAGGAUGGUGGAAUUCCCGGUGUAGCGGUGAAAUGCGUAGAGAUCGGGAGGAACAUCAGUGGCGAAGGCGGCCAUCUGGGACAACACUGACGCUGAGGCACGAAAGCGUGGGGAGCAAACAGGAUUAGAUACCCAGUAGUCCCUGUCUCUUAUACA